This is an RNA transcript of Cynara cardunculus var. scolymus (artichoke), 921 nucleotides long. RefSeq lists it as uncharacterized. The transcript is spliced from 4 exons. Lineage: Eukaryota; Viridiplantae; Streptophyta; Magnoliopsida; Asterales; Asteraceae. The record is from RefSeq and is a predicted model, not a curated record.
AACCCAUUACGAAUUACGAGAGGGCGCGAGAGAGAGGGGAUGGCUUCGGUAUGCAGAUCACCGUUAAUGUCUGGUGCGCGAAAAAUUGCAGCUCAAACGAAGCUAACUUCAAGAACCCUAAACCCUAAAUGUGUGCCCAUUUCUCCAUUUUCAUCAUCUACAACAGCAGUCCCUCGUGCAGCUUCAAGGAUUGUUGGAGCAUUGGGAAUGGUGGAGUCCAUGAUGCCUCUUCACAGCGCAAUUGCAUCUGCUCGUCUCAAGUCGAGUCUUGCUGUUAAUUCCACCUACUGGAGCUGGCUUUCACAAGGUCCCCCUUUUGUAACAGGUGUUAAGUUAAAGGGGGGUCUAUUUCAUUGAUUGAUGCAAUUGACCAAGAAUCUGUCCUUUGCCGAAAGCUCAUAGGGUAAAAAGUAAAAUUGCACCAUCUCUGUAAUAGGUCUUGGAACAUCAUUGUGACAAGGUUUGCAAGGAUGAGCAUAUGGAAGUUUGCUUCAAGUUAUGAAUAUUAAACCUUUGAUCUUGCAGCUUGUACCAAAUCUGCUUUAAGUGGUACCUCCCUUUUUUGUAUUUUUAUUGCAAGAUUUGCCCGUUGUCCUUUACUUUGGGGUAGAAAAAGGUCUGCAUACAUCUCACUCUCAGGCCCUACUGACUCUGGGUCGAUAUGCUUUGCUCAUAAAAGUCUUUUAUGCUAUGAAACAUCAUUCUCCCCAAUAAGCGUUGUUGGUUUUGUAAAGCAAGUCGAGUUAUUUACGUUUGAUUUGAAAAUUUUCCUUGUUUAUUUGAUGCAAAUAUGAGGAAUACUAUGAUCCUUGUGUUUUAGUUUGAAUUUGAAAUCAUGUAGCGAUCCUUCUGUUUAAACUCGUAGAGGGACUCGAGCGUGAUUUUUGGCUUGUUAUGUCGAUGAAUGGGCUGUAUUUUUCU